GGGAGAACCCUCCUCCGCAAUGUGGAGUGCCCUGUGUGUGGUAUUAGGUACCAUCUCCUAGAGAGGCACCUAAGAAAGCACCAAGGUCUAACUCAAGAACAGCUGGACAACCAUGUGAAGGAGCUGAAGUGGGCGUCGGCCAUGCAAAAGCUGAGGGAACUCAGGGAAAAAAAUCCUGAGUUUCCUAUGGUGUCCACCUUUGAUUUGGUGGAAGCCAUACAAGAGGGCCAGCCAGAUCAAAACCAGGAGCUUCUGGAUGUGUUGGAUAGGUUGUUUAUUCACUCUGGUUUGAAAAUAACUGUAAAUAAAUGUUUGGUUAUACAAACAUUUCACUGACUCUUUGUUUCACAGGAGAUUUAGACGAGAUGGUUUGUGGGGACCCACUGCUUAAUGAUGGCCCUGUAGAUUGGGCUGUGGUCAUGCAAGGAGCACUAAUGGAGCCAUUUGAUGCAGACCUGCAGCAAUGGCUUGAUGGCCCUGUUAAUGGGGCCGAAGGCAUGCCAGGUAAGGUGUUAAGUAGCCAACCCAUUAGUAAUCAGCCUGUAUUGUUUCAAAUUUAAGAUUGGUUAAUGGAUGUUGUUUU
Misgurnus anguillicaudatus (oriental weatherfish) is the source of this 583-nucleotide non-coding RNA. NCBI's taxonomy places the organism in Eukaryota, Metazoa, Chordata, Actinopteri, Cypriniformes, Cobitidae. The record is from RefSeq and is a predicted model, not a curated record.